Molecule: non-coding RNA, 2903 nt
Organism: Agelaius phoeniceus (red-winged blackbird)
Lineage: Eukaryota; Metazoa; Chordata; Aves; Passeriformes; Icteridae
Source: RefSeq, a predicted model, not a curated record
CAAGGCAACGAGGGUCUCCUAAACAUUUUGCAGCUGCCGUAGUAGCUGACCGAAGUUUCCCCUAGGGACACGCAGCUAGAUCUCCUCCUGGGUCUUAUCACAGGCACUUUUUCCUCCACGCUGGGGAGCCGUGGGUGGCGGUGAUGCUGGUGGUGCGCUCCUCGGCUCUGCGCCGAGAAGAUGCCGUGCUCCCCGGCACAGAGUGCCAGGAGGCAGCCUGCCACCCCGACCGUGCCGGCCAGCAGCGGGCCGAGCGCUGGGGGCAGCGCCUGGAGGCUGCUCAGCGACACCAGCCACACCAGGCUGCAGAACACCAAGACGAGGAGGCUCCGGCGCAACUUCAGGGAGCUCUGCGGCAGGGUCAGCGCUGCCACCGAGACCAGCACCGUCAGGAGCCUUCCUAGGAACAUCCGCGGCUCCUCUUCGUGCCCCUCCGCGGGCAGCAGCCACUGCAGCGCCACGAAGUCCCCCGAGUAGCAGCACAGGGGCAGCGCCAGCAGCCACCAGCGGGUCGUGCCGCCGCCGUGCUCCCCGCGCCGGCCGCCGACCAGGUAGCAGCGGCCCCCCGUGCGGGGCUCGGGCCGGCCCCCGCCCGGCGCCGCAGCCGCAGCCAGGGACGAUGAGGAAGCGGUGGAGGGGCAGGAACGCUGAACCGGCGCGACUUUGUGCUUUAUUCUUGUCAUCUAGCUUCGAGGUGCCGCGGAAAAGUUGUUCGUACGGGUAUAAAGCACACGCAGAGUAUCGAAGUGUUUUCCCUCUAAGGAGCAUCACUUUUUCCCUUUUAUUCCUUUUUUUUUUUUUUUUUAAUACCUGAGAACAGUGGAGACUGGGAAGUGCCUAAGGAAGACUACAGAGACAGGACAUCACAUGAACCCUAAAUACCAUGGAUGCAACCAUCUGUGGCUUCAGCACUUUCUGAAUCAGAAGUGGUGUCUUAUUCUUCACAGUUCUUGUUAUCUACAGUAAAUUUCACCUGCCUAUGAAGUCAGCUGUGAGGCUGUAAGCACAUUCUCUCAGUCAGUGACUUUGUAUUAACAGUAUACUUUACCACCUUCCCAUCUUUUUUCAAAUCAUUUAUCAUUAAAUUAAUUAGCUUUAAUUUUAGUGAUCUGUGUGCUGAAGAAAUGUAUACAUUCCAAAAUGUAAUAGGAAUAUAGUUGGUCUUUAGUAAUGUCUCUGUUGCCUAACAACACAUCCUACCACAUUACAGGACCCUUUCUUGAGGAGUUUCCAAUCUAAUAAUGAAUUUCAGUAUAAAGAAAACUUGGUUUGAGUACUUUAGUGUCUGUUGUAAAUUAGAAUAGCAUUAACUAAAUUGUUCCUUUUAAGAGAAUAAUUUUUAGAAUAAGGAAAUAACUUCCUUAUUAGCUAUUUCUUAAACAAAUACAGAAAAACAUAUUGUUUUAUUAAAAUUGAAGACAUUUAUGUCAGGGGAAUGUAAUUUUUUUUUGAUCAUCCUCCAGUUUCAGUACCAAAACAAGAUGGGUGGCUCAGGGAUUUGAGUCAGGUUGGCUGUCUCUGACUAUCUAAUAAUAAUAAAUACUAAUAUAAUUAAAUAUUCCUUUUAAGUAAUGAUAAAUAAGAUUUUCCAAGUUAAGUCUGAUUCAUCGGUGGCCUCGCUGUCUUUAUGCCGAGGCAGCUUUCUUGUUCCUGCUUUUCUUAUUUUCUCCUUUUCCUCCUGAGCAGAGGGAAUGAGCCAAUGUCAGAAAGUUUGGCUGUCAGCAAGGGCCAAGCCACCACAAUAACCAUGUAUACUCAGCCCUGGAGAUCUGAUCAGGAAAAUAUUGUUAAAUCUUAGAUUUUCAUUGCAAAGACUGACCCUGCUACCAUCACUGUAUUUUAAUAGAGAAUUUUCAUUUGUUUGGUCAAACUCAAACCCAGACCUAAUUUUAAAGUGGAAUUCUUCAUGGAUGAGACUAUGAAAAUAUGGUGUUUAUACCCACAGCAUACUGGCAGUAGAAUAGAACAACUCAUAACUGUUUUGGCAGCAAAGACUUACUUUUUCUUCAUUAAAUCUAUACUAGCAAAAUUCAUAAACUGGUGGUAUCUAUCUCUACAGUGGAAAAUAUUUACUGACUUGAUUGACAAUUUAAUAUAUGUUGUCAAGUUGUGUUUGUUAGUUUCUGUUGAUCCUGAGACAUGUGAAGUUCCUUUUGCUGAUUAAACUUGCAAACACUUAAAAUCAGAUUUUGGGAACAUGGGUAUAUAUUACUUUGUAACUCACUUCAGAAAAGCAUAAUAAUGAUGAAUAUUUUGGAUAGAAAUAACAAUAUUUAACAUAAGAAUAUGAACCAAAAGCAGUCAUAAAACAGUUAAUUUAAAUUCUCCUAAUUCAGAGGAUAACUAUUUUAAUAGCAUUGUUUUGAAGGUUUGCUUGGGGUUUUUUUCUGGCUAAGGAAAUUGCAAGUAUUUAUUUAUCCAGCUACCUCCACAUUUUCCAGUGUCAUUAUUCCCAGUGAUCCCUACAGUGAUAAGUGGUCAAUGACCCUCACAUAGGAUGAACUACAGAAGUUUGACAGACCUUCAACAGCACAGUGGCAUUCUGCUAAAAGCUCACAUUUUCUCCAAUGGGUUAUUAUACAGGCAGAAUAAAAUGCCUUCUUAAAAACCAACCUUGUCUUUUUUCUCCCUAAAAAGAGAAAUGUUUGUUUUUUCCUUAAUUUGGUGAAAGAAAAAAAUAAAAAGGAAACUCACUGGAAAGGCCAAACCUACCAAUUGGUAGUGCUUCUGUGUGAAUGUCCCCAUUUACACACUCAAACUUGCACCGAGAGACCUUAAACUAAAUUUAAAAUGUCGUUUAUCGGGUGGUGUCAACUGCUGAUUAUCUUCAUCCUUGUUUUCUGUACUGGUUUGGUAUCACUUCAGAACAUUGCCAAUAAUAAAAUUGAUGUGUAAAACUUGAA